This 1031-nucleotide ribosomal RNA is filed under the name uncultured Burkholderia sp. RNAcentral describes it as "bacterial SSU rRNA". It matches the Rfam family "Bacterial small subunit ribosomal RNA", at positions 337 to 1357 of the family's 1533-position model. The record is from RNAcentral. Lineage: Bacteria; Pseudomonadati; Pseudomonadota; Betaproteobacteria; Burkholderiales; Burkholderiaceae.
UCCUACGGGAGGCAGCAGUGGGGAAUUUUGGACAAUGGGCGAAAGCCUGAUCCAGCAAUGCCGCGUGUGUGAAGAAGGCCUUCGGGUUGUAAAGCACUUUUGUCCGGAAAGAAAUCCUUGGCUCUAAUACAGUCGGGGGAUGACGGUACCGGAAGAAUAAGCACCGGCUAACUACGCGCCAGCAGCCGCGGUAAUACGUAGGGUGCGAGCGUUAAUCGGAAUUACUGGGCGUAAAGCGUGCGCAGGCGGUUUGCUAAGACCGAUGUGAAAUCCCCGGGCUCAACCUGGGAACUGCAUUGGUGACUGGCAGGCUAGAGUAUGGCAGAGGGGGGUAGAAUUCCACGUGUAGCAGUGAAAUGCGUAGAGAUGUGGAGGAAUACCGAUGGCGAAGGCAGCCCCCUGGGCCAAUACUGACACUCAUGCACGAAAGCGUGGGGAGCAAACAGGAUUAGAUACCCUGGUAGUCCACGCUGUAAACGGUGGGUACUAGGUGUGGGGUCCAUUCCACGGGUUCCGUGCCGUAGCUAACGCUUUAAGUACCCCGCCUGGGGAGUACGGCCGCAAGGCUAAAACUCAAUGGAAUUGACGGGGCCCCGCACAAGCGGCGGAGCAUGCGGAUUAAUUCGAUGCAACGCGUAGAACCUUACCUGGGUUUGACAUGGAUCGGGAGCGCUCAGAGAUGGGUGUGCCUCUUUUGGGGUCGGUUCACAGGUGGUGCAUGGCUGUCGUCAGCUCGUGUCGUGAGAUGUUGGGUUAAGUCCCGCAACGAGCGCAACCCUUGUUCACUGUUGCCAGCACGUUAUGGUGGGGACUCAGUGGAGACCGCCGGGGUCAACUCGGAGGAAGGUGGGGAUGACGUCAAGUCCUCAUGGCCCUUAUGGGUAGGGCUUCACACGUCAUACAAUGGUCGGAACAGAGGGUUGCCAACCCGCGAGGGGGAGCUAAUCCCAGAAAACCGAUCGUAGUCCGGAUUGCACUCUGCAACUCGAGUGCAUGAAGCUGGAAUCGCUAGUAAUCGCGGAUCAGCAUGC